Molecule: ribosomal RNA, 383 nt
Filed under: uncultured bacterium
Lineage: Bacteria
Description: partial 16S ribosomal RNA
Rfam family: Bacterial small subunit ribosomal RNA
Source: RNAcentral
UGGGGGAUAUUGCACAAUGGAGGAAACUCUGAUGCAGCAACGCCGCGUGAAGGAUGAAGGUCUUCGGAUUGUAAACUUUUGUACUUGGGGACGAUAAUGACGGUACCCAAGCAGCAAGCUCCGGCUAACUACGUGCCAGCAGCCGCGGUAAUACGUAGGGAGCAAGCGUUGUCCGGAUUUACUGGGUAUAAAGGGUGCGUAGGCGGCCAUACAAGUCAGUUGUGAAAACUAUGGGCUCAACCCAUAGCCUGCAAUUGAAACUGCGUGGCUUGAGUGAAGUAGAGGUAGGUGGAAUUCCCGGUGUAGCGGUGAAAUGCGUANAGAUCGGGAGGAACACCAGUGGCGAAGGCGACCUACUGGGCUUUAACUGACGCUGAGGCACG